CGCUGCUGCAGCGGUGUGCCGGCUCACAGGGGACGCGGCAGGGACCCCAGUGCUGCAUCCUGGUGUAAAGGACAGACUGCGUUUCUCCACCUCCCAACCCUGCUGCACAACAGCAGCACUUGUGCCAGCAUCUGCAUUUGCAGCUGUUUUGUGCGCCUUCAGUAAACCGAGAGGGCAUAAAGCACCUUCAGGAACAGAAGUGAGCAGAACGUUCAGCACAUCCCUACUAAGUUGUAAGGGGAGGGGAUGGGGAGCAGCAGCGGGAUCCUCUCGAUGAGCGUGG
This is a long non-coding RNA of Gallus gallus (chicken), 283 nucleotides long. The record is from Ensembl. Lineage: Eukaryota; Metazoa; Chordata; Aves; Galliformes; Phasianidae.